This 253-nucleotide ribosomal RNA is filed under the name uncultured bacterium. RNAcentral describes it as "partial 16S ribosomal RNA". It matches the Rfam family "Bacterial small subunit ribosomal RNA", at positions 524 to 776 of the family's 1533-position model. The record is from RNAcentral.
UACGUAGGGGGCAAGCGUUGUCCGGAAUCAUUGGGCGUAAAGCGCGUGUAGGCGGCUCGGUAAGUCCGCUCUGAAAGCCCGGGGCUCAACCCCGGGAGGCGGGUGGAUACUGCUGAGCUCGAGUCCGGAAGAGGAGUGUGGAAUUCCUGGUGUAGCGGUGAAAUGCGCAGAUAUCAGGAGGAACACCGAUGGCGAAGGCAGGUCUCUGGGCCGAUACUGACGCUGAGGAGCGAAAGCGUGGGGAGCGAACAGG